This 253-nucleotide ribosomal RNA is filed under the name uncultured bacterium. RNAcentral's name for it is "partial 16S ribosomal RNA". It matches the Rfam family "Bacterial small subunit ribosomal RNA", at positions 524 to 776 of the family's 1533-position model. The record is from RNAcentral.
UACGAAGGGGGCUAGCGUUGCUCGGAAUCACUGGGCGUAAAGGGUGCGUAGGCGGGUCUUUAAGUCAGGGGUGAAAUCCUGGAGCUCAACUCCAGAACUGCCUUUGAUACUGAGGAUCUUGAGUUCGGGAGAGGUGAGUGGAACUGCGAGUGUAGAGGUGAAAUUCGUAGAUAUUCGCAAGAACACCAGCGGCGAAGGCGGCGCUCUGGGCCGGAACUGACGCUGAGGAGCGAAAGCGUGGGUAGCAAACAGG